Molecule: long non-coding RNA, 211 nt
Filed under: Trifolium pratense (red clover)
Lineage: Eukaryota; Viridiplantae; Streptophyta; Magnoliopsida; Fabales; Fabaceae
Description: long non-coding RNA (TPRA_LNC008918)
Source: RNAcentral
UAGGAUUAAGAAAGAGAUAGAGACUUAGGAGAGGGGAGAGAAAAGAGAAGGAGAUGAUCCAAUUUGCCUAACCAUUGGGUACCAAACAUAGCCCUCGAGCACUAUGCCCCAAAAGACAAAGACCCUUUAGUUAACAAACACUUUAGAGAUUUACAUUUCUCACCCUACCGGUUACUCGCGCGCCCUACGAAUUUCUCAUUUUACCCUUCCG